This 425-nucleotide ribosomal RNA is filed under the name uncultured bacterium. Its description in RNAcentral is "partial 16S ribosomal RNA". It matches the Rfam family "Bacterial small subunit ribosomal RNA", at positions 354 to 796 of the family's 1533-position model. The record is from RNAcentral.
GUGGGGAAUAUUGGACAAUGGGCGAAAGCCUGAUCCAGCCAUGCCGCGUGAGUGAUGAAGGCCUUAGGGUUGUAAAGCUCUUUCAGUAGGGAAGAUAAUGACGGUACCUACAGAAGAAGCCCCGGCUAACUUCGUGCCAGCACCCGCGGUAAUACGAAGGGGGCUAGCGUUGUUCGGAUUUACUGGGCGUAAAGCGCACGUAGGCGGAUUGGUCAGUUAGAGGUGAAAUCCUGGAGCUCAACUCCAGAACUGCCUUUAAUACUGCCAGUCUAGAGUCCAGAAGAGGUGAGUGGAACUCCUAGUGUAGAGGUGGAAUUCGUAGAUAUUAGGAAGAACACCAGUGGCGAAGGCGGCUCACUGGUCUGGUACUGACGCUGAGGUGCGAAAGCGUGGGGAGCAAACAGGAUUAGAAACCCCUGUAGUCC